This 253-nucleotide ribosomal RNA is filed under the name uncultured bacterium. RNAcentral describes it as "partial 16S ribosomal RNA". It matches the Rfam family "Bacterial small subunit ribosomal RNA", at positions 524 to 776 of the family's 1533-position model. The record is from RNAcentral.
UACGGGGGGGGCAAGCGUUGUUCGGAAUUACUGGGCGUAAAGGGCUCGUAGGCGGCCAACUAAGUCAGACGUGAAAUCCCUCGGCUUAACCGGGGAACUGCGUCUGAUACUGGAUGGCUUGAGGUUGGGAGAGGGAUGCGGAAUUCCAGGUGUAGCGGUGAAAUGCGUAGAUAUCAGGAGGAACACCAGUGGCGAAGGCGGCUUUCUGGACGGUAACUGACGCUGAGACGCGAAAGCGUGGGGAGCAAACAGG